This 253-nucleotide ribosomal RNA is filed under the name uncultured bacterium. Its description in RNAcentral is "partial 16S ribosomal RNA". It matches the Rfam family "Bacterial small subunit ribosomal RNA", at positions 524 to 776 of the family's 1533-position model. The record is from RNAcentral.
UACAGAGGUCCCAAGCGUUGUUCGGAUUCACUGGGCGUAAAGGGUGCGUAGGUGGUCGGGUAAGUCCGAUGUGAAAUCUCCGAGCUCAACUCGGAAACUGCACCGGAUACUAUUCGGCUGGAGGGUUGGAGGGGGGACUGGAAUGCUUGGUGUAGCAGUGAAAUGCGUAGAUAUCAAGCGGAACACCAGUGGCGAAGGCGAGUCCCUGGACAACUCCUGACACUGAGGCACGAAAGCUAGGGGAGCAAACAGG